This 434-nucleotide ribosomal RNA is filed under the name uncultured Subdoligranulum sp. Its description in RNAcentral is "partial 16S ribosomal RNA". It matches the Rfam family "Bacterial small subunit ribosomal RNA", at positions 341 to 792 of the family's 1533-position model. The record is from RNAcentral. RNAcentral also lists the same sequence under 1 other name. Lineage: Bacteria; Bacillati; Bacillota; Clostridia; Eubacteriales; Oscillospiraceae.
ACGGGAGGCAGCAGUGGGGAAUAUUGCACAAUGGGGGAAACCCUGAUGCAGCGACGCCGCGUGGAGGAAGAAGGUCUUCGGGUUGUAAACUCCUGUCGUAAGGGACGAUAAUGACGGUACCUUACAAGAAAGCCACGGCUAACUACGUGCCAGCAGCCGCGGUAAAACGUAGGUGGCAAGCGUUGUCCGGAAUUACUGGGUGUAAAGGGAGCGCAGGCGGACUGACAAGUUGGAAGUGAAAUCUAUGGGCUCAACCCAUAAAUUGCUUUCAAAACUGUUGGUCUUGAGUAGUGCAGAGGUAGGCGGAAUUCCCGGUGUAGCGGUGGAAUGCGUAGAUAUCGGGAGGAACACCAGUGGCGAAGGCGGCCUGCUGGGCACCAACUGACGCUGAGGCUCGAAAGCAUGGGUAGCAAACAGGAUUAGAUACCCUGGUA